This 153-nucleotide ribosomal RNA is filed under the name Gastrostyla steinii. Its description in RNAcentral is "5.8S ribosomal RNA". It matches the Rfam family "5.8S ribosomal RNA". From Rfam's summary of the family: 5.8S ribosomal RNA (5.8S rRNA) is a component of the large subunit of the eukaryotic ribosome. Lineage: Eukaryota; Ciliophora; Spirotrichea; Sporadotrichida; Oxytrichidae. The record is from RNAcentral.
ACCAAAUUCUCAACGAUGGAUAUCUUGGUUCCCAUUACGAUGAAGAACGCAGCGAAGUGCGAUAAGCAAUGCGAAUUGCAGAACCGUGAGUCAUCAGAUUUUUGAACGCAACUGGCGCUAGGUGGUUAUCCACCUAGCAUGCUUGUUUCAGUG